Molecule: ribosomal RNA, 253 nt
Filed under: uncultured bacterium
Lineage: Bacteria
Description: partial 16S ribosomal RNA
Rfam family: Bacterial small subunit ribosomal RNA
Source: RNAcentral
GACGAAGGGGGCAAGCGUUGUUCGGAAUUACUGGGCGUAAAGGGCGCGUAGGCGGUCUUGUUAGUCAGGCGUGAAAGCCCUGGGCUUAACCUAGGAUGUGCGCUUGAUACUGCGAGGCUUGAGUGUGGGAGAGGUUGGUGGAAUUCCCAGUGUAGAGGUGAAAUUCGUAGAUAUUGGGAAGAGCACCGGUGGCGAAGGCGGCGACCUGGGUCGACACUGACGCUGAGGCGCGAAAGCCAGGGGAGCAAACGGG